GCUACCUGCAAGUCUCCCUAGAAAAGCAGUUUUUGUAGGUGAAAACAAUGAAGCCAGGUAAUAUUCCAAGGAGGCUGUAAUUUUAGCAGACCUACCAACAACACUGAUGUAGGAAGCUCAUUAUUUUAAUUUCUGGAGUCUUUUAAUUUUUUCUUUAGAAAGUGUAUAAAUAAUUGCAGUGCUGCUUUGCUUCCAAAACCGGGCAGUGAGUUCAACAACAACGACAACAACAGCCGCAGCUCAUUCUGGCCGUCAUGGAGUUUCUUGAAAGAACGUAUCUUGUGAAUGAUAAAGCUGCCAAGAUGUAUGCUUUCACACUAGAAAGUGUGGAACUCCAACAGAAACCGGUGAAUAAAGAUCAGUGUCCCAGAGAGAGACCAGAGGAGCUGGAGUCAGGAGGCAUGUACCACUGCCACAGUGGCUCCAAGCCCACAGAGAAGAGGGCGAAUGAGCACGCCUAUGCCAAGUGGAAACUCUGUUCUGCUUCAGCAAUAUGCUUCAUUUUCAUGAUUGCAGAGGUCGUGGAAAUUUAGGGAGUUUUUUCCUGCUUAUGGACAAUGCUGCAAUGCAAAAUCUUGAAGAAAA
RNAcentral lists this small RNA (585 nucleotides) under Pongo abelii (Sumatran orangutan). RNAcentral describes it as "retained intron". Lineage: Eukaryota; Metazoa; Chordata; Mammalia; Primates; Hominidae. The record is from RNAcentral.